Molecule: ribosomal RNA, 381 nt
Filed under: uncultured bacterium
Lineage: Bacteria
Description: bacterial SSU rRNA
Rfam family: Bacterial small subunit ribosomal RNA
Source: RNAcentral
GUGAAGGGAAACCGGAACGAGCCUUCGGGCAGCGUAGACAGGUGCUGCAUGGCUGUCGUCAGCUCGUGUCGUGAGAUGUUGGGUUAAGUCCCGCAACGAGCGCAACCCGUGUUGCUAGUUACAAGUGUCUAGCGAGACUGCCGGUAACAAGCCGGAGGAAGGUGCGGAUGAUGUCAAGUCAGCAUGGCCUAUAUGUCCAGGGCUACACACACGCUACAAUGGCUGGUACAAAGAGAAGCGAAAGGGAGACCUGAAGCGAAUCUCAUCAAAGCCAGUCAUAGUUCGGAUUGCAGGCUGCAACUCGCCUGCAUGAAGUCGGAGUUGCUAGUAACCGCAGGUCAGCAAUACUGCGGCGAAUACGUUCCCGGGCCUUGUACACAC